Molecule: long non-coding RNA, 851 nt
Organism: Gossypium raimondii (Peruvian cotton)
Lineage: Eukaryota; Viridiplantae; Streptophyta; Magnoliopsida; Malvales; Malvaceae
Exons: 2
Source: RefSeq, a predicted model, not a curated record
UCUUGGAAGACAAGCCCUUUUUCCUCUUUUUUGCUGCAAAUUGAGGCUUAGUGGGCCGUCAGUGGUGUUGGGCCUGCGCUGGGUCGGGUCCACUGGUGGUGGGCUGCUGGUGGCCUACCAAAAAAAUGGGCUGCUGUUUUUACAUUUUUUCUUUAUUUUAUCUUUUUCUCUCUUUUGCCUUUCAUCUUUCUGUUUCUUCUCUUCUUUUUUCUCUUCAGUUACCUAUUUUACUUCUUUUGCUUGCUGUUUUUUCUGUCUUUGUCUGCUUAUUUGUGGAGGUGCGACGGUGGUGGGAAUGUAAGGGCGGGCCGGCGAGCACGGUGGCGGCGAAGGAGCGGCGGGUUUUUUGAAGUUAUUCUUUUGUUUUUUUGCUACUCUUUUGUUUGCUUUGCUUUUCUAUUUGGUUGCUUGCGACUUUUCAGGUGGUGGGGGCAAGGGAACGACAACGGUGGCGGUGGUUGAACGACGGUGGUGGCAGAUGAGCCAUGAUGGCCUAGGGGGGGCUGCUGGAGUAGCUCGGCUGGGAGGGGUGCGUUCGGCUGCUGCAGCGGCGAUUAGACAAGUCCAGAAGGACUAAUUGCAUAGGAUGCAAAGCUUUUGGGGCAAAAGUGUAAUUUUAGCAAAAAUAUGGGCCAAAAUGUAAUUUAUUAAGAGUUUAGGGGUUAAAGUGAAAUUUUGAGAAAGUCUAAGGGUCGAAAUGUAAUUUUAGAAAGUUUUAGGGUCAAAAUGUAAAUUUUAGAAAGUUUGGGGUCAAAAUGUAAAUUGUGAAAAGUACAGGGGUUAAAAUGCAAAAAAAAAUUUAAAAAUUCUUUUUUUUUAACACGAAAUUAAUCCCGGACAAAAUUCAGUAA